This 355-nucleotide ribosomal RNA is filed under the name uncultured bacterium. Its description in RNAcentral is "bacterial SSU rRNA". It matches the Rfam family "Bacterial small subunit ribosomal RNA", at positions 43 to 384 of the family's 1533-position model. The record is from RNAcentral.
GAAUUCACUAGUGAUUCAGGCCUAACACAUGCAAGUCGAGCGGUAGAGAGAAGCUUGCUUCUCUUGAGAGAGGCGGACGGGUGAGUAAUGCCUAGGAAUCUGCCUGGUAGUGGGGGAUAACGUUCGGAAACGGACGCUAAUACCGCAUACGUCCUACGGGAGAAAGCAGGGGACCUUCGGGCCUUGCGCUAUCAGAUGAGCCUAGGUCGGAUUAGCUAGUUGGUGAGGUAAUGGCUCACCAAGGCUACGAUCCGUAACUGGUCUGAGAGGAUGAUCAGUCACACUGGAACUGAGACACGGUCCAGACUCCUACGGGAGGCAGCAGUGGGGAAUAUUGGACAAUGGGCGAAAGCCU